CAGGACACCGGCCCUUGAGGCCUGGAGUUCGACACCUGUGUCUUAUAGCAAUUACAUUUAUAGGUAAAAUAUAAAGUGCGUGGAACUUAAAAACAUCAAGCGCAGAACCAGAACGCCGCAUUUCUUGAAUGGCUUUAUGUUGCCCCCUUGUGACCAAACCUGCAAACUGCAUCCAGCCUUUAAAAUACAAAACGAGUAGUGCUGACAGAAGAAACAGCUGGACUUGAAUCGCUAAACACACACGCGGGUGAGGAUUUCACGGAUAUUCCUCUAAGACGAUUCAUGGUAGAAAUAGCAGUAAAUGGCUAUUAUUUUCUUUAGCUGAUUUUUGUGAAUGAGACAGUAACACGUUCCCUCUCAGAUGGCUGGAAUGGAGAACUCUACCAGCGGGAUUAUAUAUGAAUACUAUUAUGAUUACCUGGAUCCCGUGAUUGUGGAUGAGAGAAAGUUAAAGUACUAUAAAUAUUCCGUUGUUAUAAUAUUUUGGGUAGUCGUCAUUACCUUUGUGGCAUGUCUUUUUCUCACUUUGAAUCUACUGUCUCGCAGUGGAAACCUACCAAAGAAUCACACGUCAACUAAUUCACUAGAGACUCGAUCUUAAUGAGAACAUAGUGAAAAACGGAGGCGAUGGACUCAAAUUCAAAAUGUGAUGAUAAGGUGCAACAGCACUAAUGAAAUUUAAAAUGAGAAGAAGUGACCAUCAUUCCAUCUCGCAAGAUCACUGCAAAGUUCAAGGCUUCCUUAAACAUUAAAAAAAAUGUUACGUAACAGCUGCUUUGAGCUUUAAACCACAGUGUGUGUGUGUGUGUGUGUGUACAUAAGAGCAAGGACAGCGAGAGUAUAUUAGGCAGCUUUGCUCCUUCCAUUUUCAUUUUAGUCCCAAAACUUUCUGCUCAAAAUUUGUACAUACAGUACUUUGGAAGAGUCAAGUUUUCCACCUCUCAUUUCUUUGCAUUUUAUUAGGUAAAUGGGAACAUGUAAACAUACAGGGACAUACGGUAUACAAGGCAAAACAGACUUUGUAUAGUUCUAACAAGUUUUAAAGUCGCCUUUUGUAUGACUGACCUUUUGUAGUUUCUUUAAGAAUUCUUCAGGAAUGGUUCUCCAAGCUUCUUGAAGAACAUUCAAAGCUCUUCAUUGAGGUCCAAAUCAAUCCACAACUUUCAUUGUGUUUUUUCAGUGUUUUGGGA
Molecule: long non-coding RNA, 1190 nt
Organism: Haplochromis burtoni (Burton's mouthbrooder)
Lineage: Eukaryota; Metazoa; Chordata; Actinopteri; Cichliformes; Cichlidae
Exons: 3
Source: RefSeq, a predicted model, not a curated record